AUUGAACGCUGGCGGCAGGCUUAACACAUGCAAGUCGAGCGGAGAUGAGGUGCUUGCACCUUAUCUUAGCGGCGGACGGGUGAGUAAUGCUUAGGAAUCUGCCUAUUAGUGGGGGACAACAUUCCGAAAGGAAUGCUAAUACCGCAUACGUCCUACGGGAGAAAGCAGGGGAUCUUCGGACCUUGCGCUAAUAGAUGAGCCUAAGUCGGGUUAGCUAGUUGGUGGGGUAACGGCCUACCAAGGCGACGAUCUGUAGCGGGUCUGAGAGGAUGGUCCGCCACGCUGGGACUGAGACACUGCCCAGACGCCUACGUGAGGCAGCAGUGGGGAAUAUUGGACAAUGGGGGAAACCCUGAUCCAGCCAUGCCGCGUGUGUGAAGAAGGCCUUAUGGGUGUAAAGCACUUUAAGCGAAGAGGAGGCUACUGAGACUAAUACUCUUGGAUAGUGGACGUUACUCGCAGAAUAAGCACCGGCUAACUCUGUGCCAGCCGCCGCCGUAA
Molecule: ribosomal RNA, 501 nt
Filed under: uncultured bacterium
Lineage: Bacteria
Description: partial 16S ribosomal RNA
Rfam family: Bacterial small subunit ribosomal RNA
Source: RNAcentral